RNAcentral lists this long non-coding RNA (729 nucleotides) under Bos taurus (domestic cattle). Its description in RNAcentral is "long non-coding RNA NONBTAT000566". The record is from RNAcentral. Lineage: Eukaryota; Metazoa; Chordata; Mammalia; Artiodactyla; Bovidae.
CCCACCCACACCUGGGCUCUGCCUUCUCUCCCAACCUGUGAAUGUUGGGGUGUGUGUGUGUGUGUGUGUGUGUGUAAGAGAGGGAGAGAGAAAGAGAAAAAGGAGGAAGAACCAGAAUAAACAGAGGAAAGAGAUAACAGACUUAAUUAUAUGCAUAAUGUUAGAAUAAAUUGAGAAGAUGACCUGAAUCACAGUAUAAACUUCUCAUGCUGCUGCUGCUGCUGCUAAGUCACUUCAGUCGUGUCCAACUCUGUGUGACCGCAUAGACGGCAGACCACCAGGCUAAUCAGGUUAAUACGUGUGUCCUGGAGAAGAGAAAAGAUCAUGAGUAACGUUAACAGGGAUUAAUGGUAUUUUUUUGACCUGCUAAAUGAUGGCACUUCACUUGCUUUUGGGGUGCCAUUGCCUUCUCUGUCCUACUAUACCCUAAUUGUUUACUAUAAUUAGAAAGGGUUUCCUUAAUCAAAGCCAGAAUGAAACCCAGGAGUGAGAUGUUGGUGGCAGCAGCUGGUGCCCUCUCUUCACCUUCCUACAGCUAUAAGGUGACGUCAAAAGGGAAGUGAGUGGUGGGUUUGAGAUGCGUGUUGUGCUUUUGUACUUCUUAACUAAAAAAAAAUCAUAUGCAUGUAGAACUAUUAAAAACCACACUUGAAAAAAUUAAUGUGACCUCAUUUUGUAGUCAUAAACAGGUGAGGCCCAGAAUUAAUUAAAUUUAUUAAUUAGAAUAAU